GUGGGGAAUAUUCCGCAAUGGGCGCAAGCCUGACGGAGCAACGCCGCGUGAAUGAAGACGGUCUUCGGAUUGUAAAGUUCUGUCAUUAGGGACGAAGGACUCAUGUAAAUAAUAUGAGGAAUGACGGUACCUAAGGAGGAAGCUCCGGCUAACUACGUGCCAGCAGCCGCGGUAAUACGUAGGGAGCAAGCGUUGUCCGGAAUUACUGGGCGUAAAGGGCGCGUAGGCGGAUAAUUAAGUCAGAUGUGAAAUCUCCAGGCUUAACUUGGAGCGUGCAUUUGAAACUGGUUAUCUUGAGGGCAGGAGAGGAAAGUGGAAUUCCUAGUGUAGCGGUGAAAUGCGUAGAUAUUAGGAGGAACACCAGUGGCGAAGGCGACUUUCUGGACUGAACCUGACGCUGAGGCGCGAAAGCAUGGGGAGCGAACGGGAUUAGAAACCCGAGUAGUCC
RNAcentral lists this ribosomal RNA (448 nucleotides) under uncultured bacterium. Its description in RNAcentral is "partial 16S ribosomal RNA". It matches the Rfam family "Bacterial small subunit ribosomal RNA", at positions 354 to 796 of the family's 1533-position model. The record is from RNAcentral.